Panthera uncia (snow leopard) is the source of this 13194-nucleotide long non-coding RNA. RefSeq lists it as uncharacterized. NCBI's taxonomy places the organism in Eukaryota, Metazoa, Chordata, Mammalia, Carnivora, Felidae. The record is from RefSeq and is a predicted model, not a curated record. The transcript is spliced from 2 exons.
GCCUGGGCCUGGGGCGGACCCCACAGCAACCAGAGAAGUCAGCUCGUCCUCCCGUUCUGAGUUGAGUUCCGACAAAGAGCCCUAACAGGUGAUUUGGGUUUGAAGACUGCUCUUGGCUACUAACUAGCCGUGUGACCUUGGGCAGGUCGUUUGACCUCUAUGGGGCUUCGUUUCUUCCACUGAAAACAUUUGAACAAAACAAGUAGUACUAAGAGGGAAGCUCGGGCCCCCUUUCUCCUUCCCGAAGAAGACAGGCCCCACACGCAAGCUUGGAGGUAGGCUUUGGGAGCUCGCGUGUGAGGGGCUCCGGCGACUGGCUCGGAUUGGUUGGAAAGGUGAGAUGCUUUCUCCCAGGAGUCUCACCUCCUGAUCAGGGGCCUAAAGAGGAAAAAGAAAAGGAAAAAAAGGACUUGGAGAUUUUCCUUCUGACAUGCCAGUCUUGAGCCAAGGCCUCCAGCUUUAGCCUUGUGCCACACUCUCCCUACCCCUGUAAGUCUCGUGCCUUGGGGCUCUGGUGGGGAGGCAUGUGGAGGGGAUAACGGGAAGAUGGGAGGGAGGUCAAGGUGUAGAGUGAGGGUGGGGUCAGGAGCCCAGUGCCCGCGAGACCCUCAAAAGCUUUUUCUCACCCGGGACGUGUGUUGGUGCAAUAAGGGACCUUCCGACUGCUUCUGAGUUUACUCUGCAAAUCUAUCCUGUGCACCACUACCAGGUUCUUCUCAAAGCCCUGCUUUUAUGAUGAACCUCCCCCCACUCCCCCACACACACCAAAACGUUUUCGAUUCCUUGCGAAAGCAAAACAAAAAUAACCUGUUCUGGUUCACGGUGCCCGACCCUGCACUUCUGAAACACUUACUGUCUCACUGGUUUGGCACCUUUCUACUCUGUAAUCUAUAAUUGUCUCUUCGAGGUUGCCGGGGAAGUUGGAAACCUAUUGAUUCAUUUUCUUAUUCGUUGCCUUGACAAACACGUAUGGAGUCUUUCCUGGGUGCCAGGCAGGGUGCUCUGCGAAAAUGCCUCCUUGUGCUCGAGGAGUAGGUCUCAUCUCGAAACGAUGACAGGCACGCCGCGAAUUAGAAAGUAGUGUGUUGACCGGUGCCCUGCAAGGGGGCGCGCGCGACGGGAAGGGUGGCAGAGGCUGAGGCGUGUGGUGGUGUUGACGGAAGUCUCGAAGGGGAGAUGUUGGAGCAGGGCUCACCUGGAAAAAUGCAUGGGGACUGCCCAGGUGGGGCAGCAGGCAAGGGGCGGGGGCUUGGUAGCCCAAUGGAAUAUUCAGAGGCAUGGGGGGAGGGGGUGAGAGAGAGAGGGAGGGCAUCAAAAAGGAAUGGCAGAUGUCUGCAGCAUGGCUUCUAAAUGACCGUGGCAAACAAUGAACCCAAAGAGGCGAGGAGGGACCACAUUCUUAAGGGUGCGUCUUCCUUCCCCAGAGCUCAGGUUCUGAAGGCAGUGGGAGCUCGUGAAGGGGCGUCUUCAGUUGGGUGUCGGGUGGGGGUUCUGGAAGUUCAUCCAGUCCAGGCUUCUUAGUGGCCCACUCUAGUCAUCGAGGCCAGACAUGAUGAGGGUUUGAACCACCUUCAGCUGGGGGCAGGGAGGGGCCAGGAGGGGCCCGAUGGCAGGAGUCAGUCUGACAGAAAGGCUCUGCAGAGCUGCCUCCUCUUUGGAGCCUCUCGUCCUACCUCCUUAUCCAAGUCGUAGUGUCAUAGAGACAGAAGGGAAGCUGGGGACCAUGUGGACCAAUUCCUCUCCCAUUACACAGAUGGGGAAAAUGGAGGUUCGGUCAAAGGACAUGCUUCAGCCAAGGUUAAGAAGAGAAAUGGCUGCUGGCAUCGCACGGGGCCCACGACUGUGCGCUGGCUAGAUCUGGAGGUUGAAUCUACCCACUGGUGACUUUGCAUCUGAGGGCCGCCUCCUCUCUGGUUCUUGAAAAAGAGACAGGCCUCAUCCUAUUAAGUGGGUAGGAGUCCGUGUUAGGCAGGGUCACAGGAAGCUGGGGGCUGGAUAACACUGAAGUUGCUCACCUGGUGAUGCCAUAAAGGUAGCAUCCUAUCUUCCUUCUUCGAAGAGUGAGGCCCAAACUCAACUUUAAAAGGUGACUUUAACAGAAAGUCCCCACAGCCCUUUAGCUCUGUCUGGCCCUAGGCACAGCAAUAAAAAGGACAAGUUUGAGCUUUUGAAACAACCAUGUAGAAAUGCAACCUGAGGUCGGUCAGAUACCUCCCGAAAGACAAUCUGGGGACGAAAAACACAAUGGUUCCCCGACCAUCCACCGCCACAAGAGUCGGGAAUUUCAAAGGGAUGCCUCAGCACCCUGCCGUAGUCUGAGCGCGUUGGAAAAGACAUUCUAGAACCUAGGUGGUCACUGGCUAUCAAAGGUACCUGAAAUAGUGCUGCGGUGUGAGAAAAAUCCGGGCUGGCGUGUGGCUUUAAUGAAGGCUUUAAAUGCCUGUAAGGCGUGAAUGAACAGAACUCUCAGAAUCCCUGGAGAAGGGUUCUGGCCCACCCAAUGAUUUAGUUUCUUGAUUACCGUAAUUACGUAUCCAUAAUGCAUGUUAUAGGAAGGGAAAGAGGCGGCCGGGGUCCUGGACUAUAAUAGUCUAGGUCGGUGUAAGCUGGGCACAGCCUCUGACAUGUUUCUUAAUAGCAAAGGCGUUGGACACACUGUAGACUGCUUACCUAGGCUUUAACCCGUGUUUUUUUUUUUUUUUUUUUUUUUAUUUUUUUUUUUAAGCCAGUUGUUUCCAACUGUGUUAUAACAUGGCAGAGAGAAGGGGAGCAUGUCCCCAUCUAGGCCCUGCAGGUUUUAGAACCUGUAGUGGAGCUGGGGGUAUAGGAACAGACACACAAACAGGGGAUCUGGAGUUAGAGAGCCCGGACUGGACAUUCCAGAUGUCGCCCGUGGGCUCGCGUCGCUAGGCCUCAGUUUCCCCAUUUGUGAGACAACCGCUUGUAAAAAACGAGAGCGCCUUCUGCUUCAAGGUCAUUCAACGAUCACGUGCAGGAAUGCUGUAGGAUUUGCAGCAUUUUUAGUGUUUGUCAAGGUGAAGAUGAAAACCGGAUGAAACAUGAGGUGGGCAGGUCAGCAAGGGGGUCUCGCUGGGUCAAGUGCCUGGUGGCACUUGGGUGGUCAGUGAGUUGUGCGGUGUCUUGGCUCUUUCCGCAGAGGAGAACUUUUUGUUUGGUUGAUUUUGACUUGUUCUCUUGACACCGCGGGAGGCAUUAUUCCCCCCCCCCCCCCCCCGGCCGCACCCCCCAAAUGUGUUCAACGUGCUGUCAUCGUGAUAACGGUUUUUUCCGUUCUUUUCAAACGUGCUCUCUCCUCUGUGCCCCUGCAUGCUUCUGGUAACCUUGUUACCUCCUGCUUCUCAAGCGCGGAGCCCUGCAGCCUCACUCCCUGUCGGUCCCUGUGCCGGUGGAGUGUCCCCUCUCUGGCAGCAGCCAGGGGCAGAGGGGCAGCCGAGGAGGCCGAUGGGCUGCCACGCUCAUCUGCAAGACGAGCUAGCGGAUCCGAGGGGACUGGUCAGACCAGGAGGAGAGCAGAAGGCAGUCCUGCUUGGCCCUGAACUCCCUGAGCCCUCGGGCUCCGUGUCCGCGUCUUCCGUAUGACCCCAGCCCUUCCCCAAGGCAUCCCAGGCGUUGCCCUCUGUCCAGAUUCCUUCCAAGCACUGCCCUAGGCUCCCUCUCACUCCCUCUCACUCACUGCCAAGAAUGUCAACGCUGACAAUGUCUUCCUCUUCCUCAUUUCUAGUUCCCUAAUUAUCUUGCUGAUCAAGACAUGUUUUCUUGGCUGUCUGGAUUGUGCUCAGGUAGCUCAGUCUCGUCUCCUACUUCUAAACAAAACAAAACAAAACAAAACAAGACAAAACGCAACUUCCUCCUGCCCCAGCACGAGUGAUCGUAUCCAGAAAUGCUUACGAGAUACCUUUUUCAUACACAGUACUUAAGGACUCCUCUCUAUAUCAGUAACAUUUCCCCUUGGGCGAAGCUGUGUCUUAUAGCUUGUACCGGCUUCUGUCUCUUGUCAGUUGCUUAUUUAUACACUGACAGUGUCCCUGUCCUCCAGCCAAAGGUCACCAGAAGCACACCUCUGGUGGGACCAACUUGGUUUAUUGACUCACUCUGCCGCAAAGGAGAGAUGCGCCUUAUGGGGAAUCAGGGCAGUUUCAGUAAGAAGAUGUUAGAAAGGACUUAUUAUAGGAUCUGGGCUUGUUUAAGAGAUGUGGGGAGGAGGGUUCACGGAGCGGGGUGGGGGGGCGCUUUGCUUUGCAUUCGAUGCUGUCAGAAGAGACGUUAAUUCUAUGAUUGGUGUCUUAUUAAACCUGAUCUAGAAGGCAGGGGGAAUGAAGUGAGAUUCGGACCAUAAUUGGGGUAGACGCAGCACUCACUCGUAUCAGCCACAGGAGGAUGUCUGGUCACUGCUGUGGCUUGGAGAAUACAAAGGGCUGAGUGAUGUUGCCAAGACAGGAGCCGUCAGGGGCUGCUCUGCCCUUCCUUAGUCCUCUCUUUUGACCAAGGGCAAAGGAAGUUUGUGAGACACUCUAUGAUCUUCAAGUCUUCACCAUUGCCAAGAUUUUGCUGAUUAGGAGGCUGUUUAGAGAAUGUACUCUGUGGUUGGACAAGAGUUGGUCUCUCCUACUCCUUGGUGGCAGGGAGAGUUUCUUAAUCUUCUGAUGUGACAAAGACUGCAUAGGAGCUUUGAAGACUGCACAGAAAUACACCGGGCAGCUGUGCGACAGGCAGCGACUGGAAACAAAACUUGCUGUUGGCUCUUGUAAUUGGCCCCGAGGACAGGGGGCCUGCAUUAUCAAAUCCAGGCAAUGCAAAUGUGUCCCAAACCCAACUGUUUUUUUUUUUUUCUAGGUAUCUGGGUGACUUUUUCUUUUAACCUACUUCUAGAGUGUUCUACUUGAGCCUGUAGUGUUUAUAUAGGUGCAGCCAGAGGGUUUGCUGUAGUGUAGAUUCCCCUGGGCUAUCAAAGGAGAAAUUGAGGGCUGUGUGAUGACCGUGGCAACUGUGGCUAAUACCUUUAAGUUUAAAAUGGUUGCUUUGGUUUCCAGAGCAGCGGGUGUAUAACUGAUGACACCCAGUGGGGUCAGGGUAGGUUUCAGACCAUCUUUUCCAGCUGAACCAUCCCUACUGUGGGGAUCGCGGUGCGCACAGUACGCGAGGAGAACGAGUCUGUUGUCUCUUACGGCAGUUCUCCCAGGUAGUUUGUGUUCGUCUGUCUUUGGAAAUUUCUGGACAUUUCUUUUCGGGGAACAUGAUCCUCUGGGAGGCUGGUGAUUUUAAACAUCUGAAAGCCUCUAAAAUUUGUCUGGAAACAAGAAAACUUAGUGUGUGGCAGGUGGUAUAAACCUGAUGUCCACAUAAAAAGUAAUGUCCCAGUGGGGCAUGGACCAUAUUGGCAAUGCCUUUUAUCCCAACGGGAGACAGCCACGUAUUUUUUUUUUUGCCCUCAGGGUGGGAAGCUUUCCUGAGUGGAGUUAAACAGCUUUUGCAAAGCAGGAUGGAGUGUCUCUGGAGAGAACAAACUGUUGCAGCAAAAACAUGCCCGAUACUAGUUUCCAUUUCUGAUGGUGUUGUAAUGACCUAAACAGAAGGGUAUUCCUGGUCGGGGUCAAGGUCUGAUUAAAAAAAAAAAAAAAUCUAAGUUUGGGAUUAAUUAUAUGAGUAUUGGAAGUACUUGUAGAAGAAAAUCUACCUUCUGUAGUAUUUAAAGGAACAGUUAUUAAUUGUUAUCUAUCAUCAGCAGGAAUUACGGGCUGAGGACCACACGAGAGAGUUUUAUUUUUUUCUUCAGGGGCAGAAGACCUCAGGGGGUCAAAAGUAAGAGGAUUUAGAUAGGGAGGCCUUGUUGAGAUGUCUUUUAGUUAGUUAGUUAGUUAGUUAGUAGAGAGUGUCAAAGUAUAGUCCCAGACGAGGUUAGGGGUAGAGGGAAAGAAAAAUGGCGCUGAAGAAUCAGGAUUAAUCUCUCUUGGUGUCUCAGGUGGAAAUUCACCACUUCUCUGGUCCGCAGCCCAUCUGUCGUCUAGGCAGAAGCUCUCCCUUUUCUGCAGGCAGCUUUUUCUUGAGGUUUCAUAAGAACCCUCAAUGGGACGUCUUCCGAUGGAGUAGAUUAGUUGCCCAGUGGUUUGGUGACGUCUGUCUUUGUAGUUGGGAAACGCAAAGCUGGUGACCCAACAGCUUGGCAUUUUCCUGCUGUGUUAGUUGUUAACAGUACUUGAUAAGGUCUUUUAAGGCUCCAAGGCUGUCUUUGUCCAGCUAUUUCAGAAUCCCAGCACCCCGGGCCUCCUGGUGUGCAGGUCACACAGAGGUUGCUUAAGUGGGACCUCACCUGGGGUGAGACCAGGAGUCCUAGCGGUAUGCCCUAUUAUGGAGUCCGGGAUCCUGGGCCAAGGCAGUGAGUGCUUCAGCUGAAUCUCAUCGGAACCUCUAUUUGAGUUAAUACCCUGUCCCCAGCAUACAAAGUUGGGUAUCCUGACUCGUUGCAGGGAAAUAGAACCCGCAUCACGGACAACCGUGGGACUUGUCGGUGGGCUUUUCUUCUUUCCCAGAAGUUCUCCUUGAUUGAUCUGGAAGCUUCGAGAACAGAAGCUACGUGUGGUGUUCCUCAUGGUGUCUAUUGUUGCAGCUGGCACAGCAGUUGCCCUUUAAAUUAGCAGCUGGGUAUGGACUGAAGGGAUCUUAACCUGUUAAUCUGGCAGAGCUGAGCAAUUGCCGUCCCUCCUCCUCCUCUGGAGGCCACAGGGGCUGAAAGGAAGACAGACUCGUCGGUAAGGAGGAUGAAGAUAACACUCCAGAGGGAGCAAAUCCCAAACUGGAACUCUCUUUCUGGCUGUUUUCCAAGGGUGAGAAGUUGGAUUUCUACUCCUGGACUGACUUGGGACCAUGGAGACUGUGGGGGGGGUGGGGCUCUUCUGGGAGAAGGGGGGCGGUGCCUGAGACGGAAGAGAAUUCCCAGAGCUGCCUUUCUGGAAGAAUUGAUGUGAUCACAACAGCAAGGGUCGUUACAAUAUUUCUCACUUGUUUGUCUCGGUUUCAGUUGCUCUUUCUUCUUUCCCCUCCUCUGCUCUUGAGAAACAACAAUGCCGUAAAACAUUUGUGGCACUUACAUGCCAGGCAUUGGGACUUGGGUCAUAGAGAUGAGCAAGGCGUGAUGCCCAAGGCUCACUCUUCCGUGAUUUAUGGGGUUGGGGGCGACGGCAGAGAGGCGGCACCCAAAGUACAGCUCCCUGUUCCAGACCCUCUGAGCUCUGGAUGACUUUCGGCUCCUCCUUUGGGCUCUACGCAAAUACACAGAGAAAGAGGCAUCACUUUGCUCCUUGAAAGCCAAGGGGAGAGGCCCCGGAUAGUUACCUGUGGCCAUGUGGAAGGAGAGGGGGGGACUCACAUACCGGCGAUGUGGCCUCCGCCAGCCAAUUCCAGGGGCCCAGCACCCAGGGGUCUGCCUGAAGGGAUAGGAUGGAGACAGGGUUGGAACAAGGAGUAGAGAGGCUCAGCGGUGGUUCAGGUUGAGCCAAGGCCAAGGUCAUUAGGCUGGGAGUGAAAAAUGGGGCAGCAAGAGUGGUCUGGCAGCUAGUGGAAGAGGGCUCGGUCCCAGCAGCCCCACAGGACCCCUGAGCCUGUCCUGAUCCUCCCCCGCCCCCCUGAAAUCUGGAGAAGCUGAGCCUGGGGGUGGGGCACAUUCCCUUGGGCUGAGCUGGCUCCUCUCCCCAUGCCCUGAAAGACCCUCGCGGGGCCCCUGGGCUUCGCUUUCUCCCAGGGCAGUCGUGUCGCUCCUCCCCACCUUCUCUCCCUCCAAAUAUAUCUUCAUUAGUAACCAUAAACGUCAGAGUCAGAGCCGUUAGAAGGCUGUUCCUAGAUAAAUAAUGCUUUUCAUAUUUAAUUUAUGAGUAGUUCUGCAGCCUCUUUGGGGUGUGCUGGGUUAAUUAAGAGCUGAAUUAGAUGGAGCUGCAUCUCCCUAUGGAGACUCAAUUAAAGUCUUUGUGACUGAGAGACAGAGAGAGAGAGAGAGAGAGAGAGGGAGAGAAGGAAGUGUAGUUGAAGAGAAGUGUCCGUUGGAGAACACCCUCUCCGUCACAGCCUCAACUGAGGGCCGGUUGGAGGGGAGCUCAGGAUGCUUGUAGUUGAGCCUUCUUUUACAGCUUGGAACCUUCUCCAGCUCCCGAGGCAGGUGGUCCAGCGUGUGGGAGGUGCAGGUACUCAGCUCCGGGAGCCAGGUCUGCUCUCCUGGCUGGCGUGGGGUUAACGCCCUGUAGCCAGGAAACCGGCCUGGAACUGGGCCACUUGCCCAUCAGACACCGCCAGGAGCUGGAUGUGGUGCUGGGGGAGCCGAUCCCAGGUCUUGGGCCAGGACUGUGGCUCCGAAAUGUCAACCCCUUACCCCCCAUUCCCAGUCCCCUUUGCUGGGACUGAGCGGAUGAGGGCCGUGUUUGCGCCGAGCAUUUCAUGGGCAGUUGAGGAAAUCUCCCAGAGCUCUGCUCCUCCCUGGGACGGCUGGGGUUCUCGCUGCUAGGGGAGGCUGUUAUGACAGGGGCUGGGCAUUCCCCCGCCUCCACCCCCAUUUCGUGGGAUCAGGCUGCAGGGCUCCAGCAGUCUGGUCCACCCCUCCCAUUCAGGGGUGAGUCGGUAUAGAGGUGGACGCAGAAUCCUAGGCUGCUGCCUGUCACCCACGCCCUCAAAUAUGCACGUGUGUGCGCGCGCGCGUAUGCACCUUCGCACACCCCCUUCACGGCUCAUGGAUUCACAGAAGGCUCUUACACACCACGAAUCUGGCACCCUUCGAGGAGCUGCGGGGACAGAUAUAUACACCCCUGGACCACAAGCACACUCUCCCAGUCUCCCGUUCAUACUCGCCGUACAGGGAAGCGUGUCCCCACAUCCCUGGAGACCCUGUCACAUCCUGUGUGGCCGGAUAGAGUCUGCACGCUUUCAGAGUAAUAAACCCUGGCAGCACCCCCUACGUCCCCAGACACGGUCACCAAGAGCCAGACCAUCGCAGCCUGUCUCCUGACCUCUUUACACGCUCACCCUCCUGCUAUAAACCUCGGGCUGCGAAAUCGGUCCGUCUACUACACGCGCUCGUGCAUGUGUGUGCACAGGUGUGCAUGCACGUGCACGUGCCCACACACAAACACGCUUCAGCACAGGGCUCGAGUCCAGACUGCUGCUUCGCUGUGUAAAGACAGAUGGAGCGCUCUUCGUGACUGUCCCUCCGCCUCCUGAGCGGUUCAUUGUAGGAUCUGCAGCAAAUGGAAAAUGAACCUUCUCGUGAAGAAUAGGAAAAAGCAGCAUGAGCGGGGCCGAGCCCUCCGCAUGAGCACGCGUGCUCCGCGGACUCUGAGAGCCCGCCGUUUGCUCCCUCAUCCGUCAAGCCCGCCACUGCCACAUCUCGUACCCCGGGGACCUGUUUCCCUCAAAGGGCUCCUCCCAGCAAACCGGGCCGAGACGUGGCCCCUCCGUGGCCCUUUACCUUUGCCAGACCUUCGUCCUGUAGCCAGACUCGAAAGCUUGAACAGGUGGAGCUGGAAAUCACAGACGUGGGCGGAGGGGCUUCUCUGGCGCUCUCCGCAUUUGCCUGGUUGCUGAUUUGUAGCUUCCCUCCCAGUUUCAGGCCAGGUUCACAUGUGGGCACAGAUUUGGCUUCUCUGGCUAGUCCCGUGGGGCUUCUGCGCGGGACCGGUUUUGUCCUUCCCCUCGACGCCUUACAGGGGCUCACCUGGGGCUGGGCUCCCCCAAAGCAGUGUUGGGGACUUCAGUUCUGACCUGAGGGCUGGGAGGGCCUCAGAGAUUGUCUCUCUCCCCACCCUCGUGUACAGAAGAAGAGGAGGGACUUGACUGUGACCCCACGGCAGGUGAGGGGCAGACGGGCUCCAGACCCAGGGCUCCUGGCCCCUGCCAGCCUUCUUUCCUGCCCUUGGCUGUACCCGCCACCUUUGCUUUUCUUUCCUCGCCUCGUCUUUAUCUCAUGUAGGUGUAUCUUGCUUUCUACAACAGACAGGUUCUUCUAAACGUUGUCUGUGAAGCGAGAUUUCCACAUCAAAUCACGUUAUAAAGUGCACCUUCCCUGCCCCUAGGGGAGUUUGCUCUUUAGGCCCCGAAGUUUGUAGCGCUGUAGUUUGAAAGGGGCUUUACAUAUUUCCUUUGAUCCUCCGGAAGAGUCCCGGUGAUGGCAGGGAGGGCUGAGAAGUGACCCCAGAGAGCUACACCUUCUGCCUCUCGUCUGCUUUUUGGUGGGAAGUCUCUGUCUCUCUCACCUGAUCACUGAAUUCCUCGUGAGAUGAAACGCUCAGCUGGGAGACUGGAUCGCUUAGUUCUAUUUGGUGUUUUCCAAAGCAUGUUCCGCAGACCAUUGGUGCUGAGAAAUCUCUGUGAUGAAAGGUUCCUUGAUCAAACCAGUUUGAGAAAUGCUGUGUACGGUCCCUUCCCCUUGGAGACUUGCCACGCAUAUGAGCGCACGAAAAGCUCUGGGAAGUCCUGCUAUAGAAACCUGCUUAAUUCUGCCUUUUCUGAAACUUCUUUGGCUAUAGAAUCCUUUAUUUCUGGUAACACCUGUCGCGUGGAAGAGACAGUGGGAAUGUUGGUCUGGUUUAUUGUCUGUGUUAUUCUGGAUUUUUCACCUCUCGAGUUUAAGCGAUGCCCACUCCCCUUGCUGGGCUUCGCUCCCUCGCUCCCUUGGGCACCCUCGUAUGACCUCAGGACAGAGGCUGUAGCUGUUUUCUCUGGCUCCUUCAGAAGGGGCAAGAGCAGGGAGGGCUCACCGUGGGGCUGGACAGAGUGACCUGGAAGAGGUCAGGAGACUGAAGAUGGACGGCAGGUCAGUGGAGAGUCUUCCUCCUACUUGACAUCAGUCUCUGGAAAACCCUGGUCUCCGCCUCUGACCAGAGGCAGCCUCAAGUGUCUGUGCAUGCUUUGCCGAAAAGCAUAGCGAGAUUCAGGUCCCAGCUGCUGCCCUCCGGAAGCACAAGCUGCUCACCUCUAAGACUGUGCCUGUCCCCUUGGACAAUGACCCAGGGCCGGGACCGUGACCCCUCUUUGGGCACUUCCUCUGUGUCGAAUGUGUGAAUGAUUCAUCCUGAAAACACAGUGCCCACUUCCUGCCCGAACACAGGGUCCUUCUCAAUUUGUCAGCCCUGGGAAUCCCAGAGCCACCAGCCGGGGCUCUUCUUAGGGAAGCAGUCUGUGAACUUGGGGGCCACGCUUGUGUUUUCUCUUGGGUUUCACCCCAGCCUUAUUCCCCCAUCUUGCCCUCGGAAACCCCCGCCUUGUAGGAGCCUUGUCCCCUCUCCCUCCCUGCCUCCUCCUGCUGGUUUCUGUUUCUGGGCAAAGGGUAUGACCCAAGGUCGGCACAGGGCAGCUAGUCACCCAGCCCCUAGCCCACCUCCCGCUCCGCAGGUGGGUCAGAGGCCAGCCUGGCAGGCUCAGCCCCUGCAGGGAGGGUGGCAGUGUGGGUGAGUGAGUGCCGUUUGGAGAACUGGAGCCUGCGCGGGGGUCGCUGGGGCCUCAGAAGGACAGCAACACAGACGCUGGCAUUUGGGUCUGUACCUUUUCUGUCUCCCUGAAAUGAAGGAGGCAGUGGUCAGCGUGGUGAACAACAGACGUGCUUGUUUGCAGUCCUGGGUGCAGGGUUCUGCCCCUGGGACAGGAGGGUUUCUCCCCCAGCAAGUGUCAGGCUGGGACUCUCAGUGCCCCGAAGGAUGGACAGACGGCAGGGUGUGCUGGUUCGGACCAGGGCUUGAGUUCCCAGUGUUCUGCUUUGGGGUCAGUUGGAAAGUCUCACUUACCAGGUCACGUGGACCUGUCAUUCUGAGGUCAUGUUCCAGGUCACUUGGCGGGUUAGUGCCUGCCUACCAUGAGCCCCGUCCUGAACUGGGCCUGGGGUUUCCAGAGAUGAGAAAUAAGCCCAGGGCCCUGACCUCCAGAUGCUCCUAGUCUAGUGGGAGAGGCAGGUGCCCAGACAUCGAAAGGGGCAAAAUGGUAACAGAGGGGGGUGUGCAAGGUACAAUGAAUGCUACUCAGGAGGGAGCUGGGGCAAAAGCCUGGAAGGGGAGGUGACCCGAAGUGAGAGAUCAAAGCUGAGUAGCUGCUCUCCAGAUGGAUGAGGGAGAGGUAGACACAGUGGGGAAGUUACCAGGCCAGGCUGCGGGGCCUGGGUUGACACAAGGCAGGGGUGGCCUGGAGCAGGAGGCGGUGUAGAAGAGCAGUGGGCCAGCCCAGACUCAGCCCUGAGCCAAGGACAGCCCUGGGGGCUGUGUCAGGGUUAGCCCGGAGUCAGAACAGGUGCCAGGGUCACUACUGAAAGCCAGAGUGCUCAAGCUCGUAUUUUAAAAAGGCAGAUGGAGCCUGAGGGCUUGCCUGUCGUUUAUUCUGGUCCCUGGGCUGCUUAGCAGGUGAAAUGGGACUUAGGAUUUGGCCUUCUGGGGGACGGUGGCCUAGCAACGGGCCCUGGGGUCCCUGUGCUGUCCCAGAGCACCAGAAUGCGAGCAAACCAGACGGGAGGCAGCUCAUCCUGCCUUAAGGAGUGUGCCCUGAGGGGUUUCCCCACUGCCUCCUCCAGACAUUGUUGAGGGAGCGAUGAGAGCUGGGCUUGGCUGGGAGGCUCCAGGAUGGUCCCUGUCACCAGGCCCCUCGUUCUCUGGCCAUCCCCAGCAAGUGCUCACAACUCUCUCUGCAUGACCAUAACACGCUCCUCCCUUGCCAAGGCUUACUUCUUUUCUUUCCCCUCCCCGCGGGACAGACUUGAAGCCAAGGCCUCCACUGGCCGCGCUGGAGCCCGCCUUUGUGUGCGCCUCCUCGGACCUGGCUUUGACUGGUCUUCGAAUUUUGUGGCCAUCUCUCUCCCAUACACCUGUCUGAGCCCCCGCGCUGCUCACCCAGCCCCUGCCAUGCUGGACGCUGGCCCUUAUCUGCUGCCUGCAGCGGUCCCUGGGGACCCAGCCUCCCUCUUUCCCAACCCCCUCUCCUCCACUCUCCGCUUUUGGCUCCAAAAGCCUUGCUCAUCUCCACGCAAGGCCUGAAAUCCCCAUCCCAGAGGCCCGGAUUUCUUGUUUGUUCGUUCGUUUGUUUGCAAGGUUGAGCAGACAUGUCACUGGUGGGGGGGUGGGUGUCCAUAAUUGGGAGGAAGUGGGGAAGGAGGUGGCGGAGAGACGCUUCUCAGGCAGUCCAGAAGCUAAAUAAUAAAGCUCAUAAUGAUAAUAACUG